Molecule: ribosomal RNA, 897 nt
Filed under: Cantharellus austrosinensis
Lineage: Eukaryota; Fungi; Basidiomycota; Agaricomycetes; Cantharellales; Hydnaceae
Description: partial large subunit ribosomal RNA
Source: RNAcentral
UAAGCAUAUCACUAAGCGGAGGAAAAGAAACUAACUAGGAUUCCCCCAGUAACUGCGAGUGAAGAGGGAAGAGCUCAUCAUUGGAAUCUGGCAGCGUCUCGCUGUCCGAGUUGUAGAUGAGAAGAGUGGGCCAUCUGGACUGCAUGGUGUCCAAGUACAAUAGGCCGUCRGUGGGACAUCAUAGAGGGUGACAAUCCCGUCCUUGACACCAAUGUACGAGUCCUUUUACGAUGCCUAUCUCGGAGAGUCGAGCAGUUUGGGAUUUGCUGCUUAAACAUGGGAGGUAGAUUCCUUCCAAAGCUAAAUACAGGCAAGAGACCGAUAGAGAACAAGUACCGCAAGGGAAAGAUGAAAUAGAACUCUGUGAAGGGAGUCAAAAGACGUGAAAUUGUUGCGAGAGAAGCGAUUCAAGUCAGCGUAGCUGGGCCCAUCAAGCCUCGCGCUUUGGACCAGCUUUGCCAGCGGUCUUGUCCUAGAGACUCGACUAAGGUGCCCUGCCCGGUCUGACGGGCAGACCUUCCCCCCUGGGGGAGGCCAGCGGCACGGCUGGUGGAAUGGCUUGCAAUCGACCCGUCUUGAAACACGGACCAAGGAGUCUAACAUGCAUGCGAGUAUAAGGGUGGCAAACCCGUAUGCGCAAAGAAAGUGAUAGCCUUUACGGCUGUGAAUGACCUGAUGACCAGACAAGCGAUAUCAUGUCCCUCGUACGGUCAUUGCCCAAGUCCCGUGGUCAGAUCCCAUGGACAUGGAGUUGGAGCGUGCAUGCUAGGACCCGAAAGAUGGUGAACUAUGCCUGGACAAAGCGAAGCCAAAGGAAACUCUGGUGGAGGCUUGUAGCGAUUCUGACGUGCAAAUCGAUCGUCUGAUCUGGGUAUAGGGGCGAAAGACUAAUCGAAC